Cephus cinctus (wheat stem sawfly) is the source of this 600-nucleotide long non-coding RNA. RefSeq lists it as uncharacterized. Lineage: Eukaryota; Metazoa; Arthropoda; Insecta; Hymenoptera; Cephidae. The transcript has 4 exons. The record is from RefSeq and is a predicted model, not a curated record.
GCACUUUAAAGUUUCUUAUACAAGAGAAUCCAUUAAAACUCUAAGAUGCAGUGGCUGCUGGACAAUUUAUUGUAAAAGUAAAGCGACAGUCUGGUUCUGGUGUGAAACAGAGGCAGUAUAAUGACAAUCUAUUAAAACUGAAGAGAUAAUAACUGAAGUUUACAGAAUGAGGGUUUCUUUAUGGUCAAGAUUACUUGAAACUGAUUAUUUACAUGCGCAAUGGCAACUAUUUGCAUUAUAUUUCAUCAAUUGUAAUGUAUAAGGUCAAAACAGUCCUAGAGAAACGUGCAAGCAUUGGAAUAUGAAACCAUCUGUAUGCAAAGAAUAUACAUAGGAUUGUAAAAAAUGAUGGAGGUGAGAAGAGGAGGAUCCAAAAGAGAUCUCAAGGAAUCAACUUAAAAUUCCAAUGACGACGCCGAGCGUCCCCACUUCACGACGCCCUUAUGUCCCUUUAAUCGGAUGCCGCGUAAUAAUCGUUAUUACGUUACGCAUCGUCGCCGAAAUAAUUGCUAUGCCUUCAGUAAAAUUGACGUACGAGCCAUUUGCACUCGUCUUCCUUAAGGUCGGUGAGCAUUUACUUUUUAUCUUGGACUCAUUUAA